CCUCUCGCAGCUUAGUGGUUAGAGCAAUUGACGCGUAAAAUUAAAGAUCCCGGGUUCGAUUCCCGGCGAGGGUG
This 74-nucleotide transfer RNA is filed under the name Agrilus planipennis (emerald ash borer). It matches the Rfam family "tRNA". From Rfam's summary of the family: Transfer RNA (tRNA) molecules are approximately 80 nucleotides in length. Lineage: Eukaryota; Metazoa; Arthropoda; Insecta; Coleoptera; Buprestidae. The record is from Rfam by way of RNAcentral.